This 368-nucleotide ribosomal RNA is filed under the name uncultured prokaryote. RNAcentral's name for it is "bacterial SSU rRNA". It matches the Rfam family "Bacterial small subunit ribosomal RNA", at positions 524 to 896 of the family's 1533-position model. The record is from RNAcentral.
UACGGAGGGAGCUAGCGUUUUUCGGAUUUACUGGGCGUAAAGAGCGCGUAGGCGGUCAAUUAAGUUGAAAGUGAAAUCCCAAAGCUUAACUUUGGAACUGCUUUCAAAACUGGUUGACUAGAGUGUGAUAGGGGACAGUGGAAUUCCUAGUGUAGAGGUGAAAUUCUUAGAUAUUAGGAGGAACACCGGAGGCGAAGGCGACUGUCUGGAUCAUUACUGACGCUAAGGUGCGAAAGCGUGGGGAGCAAACAGGAUUAGAUACCCUGGUAGUCCACGCUGUAAACGAUGAGUGCUAGAUGUCGGGAUUUAUCUCGGUGUCGUAGUUAACACGUUAAGCACUCCGCCUGGGAAGUAAGGUCGCAAGAUUA